RNAcentral lists this long non-coding RNA (3489 nucleotides) under Pan troglodytes (chimpanzee). RNAcentral's name for it is "long non-coding RNA NONPTRT012642". Lineage: Eukaryota; Metazoa; Chordata; Mammalia; Primates; Hominidae. The record is from RNAcentral.
CACCAUCUGCUUUACUGUUCAGAGGUUAAUUAUCCACCAGAAAAUUCUCCCUAGAAAUUUAGGGUCAGUUUUACCAAACCACCAAGCCAGAUCGCCAGGGGUGUUGGACAACAUUAUCGUAAACUGGUGAGGGUCACAAGGUGGUGAAUGUGUAUAUGUUGUUGUAUGCCUAUAUGUCUUAUCAUAUUCCAUUGGAAAUAUUCAUAGUGUUUGGUUACUAAUUAUUGUGUGUCUCUGGCAUUACUUGUACUUUCCAUGAGCAAAGUAAGUGAAUGUUUUCUGUAAACACAUACCAUAGAACUUAAGACAGGCAUACAAAUAAGUCAUAUUUUUCUUCUUCAAAAAUCUGGAAUUCUUUACAAAGAAAAGAAAAAAAAAAAAACUAAAACUCCUGUCCAUGCUGCUUGUUCUAGAAAGGGAUAUUGGCACAUACACACAGCCCUGCUUUUCCCAUUCCAGGUGGACAAUAUCUGACAGUGUCGGCAGCCAAAGCCCCAGGGGGAAAAGCUGCACGCUUGGUGCUACCUCUCGGCCGCCUCAUGCAUUCAGGGGACCUGUGCCUGUCAUUCAGGCACAAGGUGACGGGGUUGCACUCUGGCACACUCCAGGUGUUUGUGAGAAAACACGGUGCCCAUGGAGCAGCCCUGUGGGGAAGAAAUGGUGGCCAUGGCUGGAGGCAAACACAGAUCACCUUGCGAGGGGCUGACAUCAAGAGCGUCAUCUUCAAAGGUGAAAAAAGGCGUGGUCACACUGGGGAGAUUGGAUUAGAUGAUGUGAGCUUGAAAAAAGGCCACUGCUCUGAAGAACGCUAACAACUCCAGAACUAACAAUGAACUCCUAUGUUGCUCUAUCCUCUUUUUCCAAUUCUCAUCUUCUCUCCUCUUCUCCCUUUUAUCAGGCCUAGGAGAAGAGUGGGUCAUUGGGUCAGAAGGAAGUCUAUUUGGUGACCCAGGUUUUGCUGGCCUGCUUUUGUGCAAUCCCAAUGAACAGUGAUACCCUCCUUGAAAUACAGGGGCAUCGUAGACACAUCAAAGCCAUCUGUAGGUGUUGCCUUCCAUCCUGUGUCUCUUUCAGGAAGGCAUUCAGCAUGCGUGAGCCAUACUAUCCUCCAUCCUGAUUACAAGGUGCUCCUUGUAGCAAAUUAUGGGAGUGAGUUACGGGAGCAGUUUUUAAAAGAAAUCUUUGCAGAUGGCCAUGAUGUUAUGUGUUCGGUGUUGUACCAUGAGUAGUAUUGACUUCCCUUGAGAUAUGGUGUACAAUAUGCUUGUGAAAUUGACUUACCCUCUUCACUUAAGUUAGUUCUGGCCUGACCUGAACUCUGACUUUUACUGCCAUUCACUUUAUAAAAUAAGGGUGUGUAACAUAUCAAGAUACAUGUAUUUUUAUCUGUUUUUUUUUUUUUUCCUGUUAAAGACAAUUAUGUAGAGUGGGCACGUAAUCCCUCCUUAGUAGUAUUGUGUUUUGUGUAAAUGUGCUAUUGAUAUUAAGUAUUUACAUGUUCCAAAUAUUUACAGACUCUAGUUGCAAGGUAAAGGGCAGCUUGUGAUCUCAAAAAAGUACAUGGUGAAAUGUCAUCCAGUUCCAUGACCUUAUAUUGGCAGCAGUAGGAAAUUGGCAGAAGUGUUGGGUUGUGGUAACGGAGUGAUGAAUUUUUUUUUUAAUGGCCUUGAGUUUGAUCUCUGCAAAGGAUAGGAAACCUUUAGGAAGACAAGAAACUGCAGUUAAUUUAGAACUGUCACUUUCAAGUUACACUUUAAAACCACAGCUUUUACCAUCAUAACAUGGCUCUGGUAAUAUGUAGGAAGCUUUAUAAAAGUUUUGGUUGAUUCAGAAAAAGGAUCCUGUUGCAGAGUGAGAGGAAGCAUAGGGGAAACUCCAUUGGAACAGAUUUUCACACAACGUUUUAAAUUGAUAUAAGUUUAGGCAGUUGUAGUUCAUAACUUAUGUUGCUCAUGUUGUGCUGUGUCAGGAUGGGAUAGGAAGCAAGUCCCAUGCUUAGAGGCAUGGGAUGUGUUGGAACGGGAUUUACACACACUGGAGGAGCAGGGCAAGUUGGAAUUCUAAGAUCCAUGAACCCCCAACUGUAUUUCCUCCCUGCAUAUUUUACCAAUAUAUUAAAAAACAAUGUAACUUUUAAAAGGCAUCAUUCCUGAGGUUUGUCUUAAUUUCUGAUUAAGUAAUCAAAAUAUUUUCUGCUGUUUUUGCCAGGAAUCACAAAGAUGAUUAAAGGGUUGGAAAAAAAGAUCUAUGAUGAAAAAUUAAAGGAACUGGGAUUAUUGAGCCUGGAGAAGAGAAGACUGAGGGGCAAACCAUUGAUGGUUUUCAAGUAUAUGAAGGGUUGGCACAGAGAGGGUGGCGACCAGCUGUUCUCCAUAUGCACUAAGAAUAGAACAAGAGGAAACUGGCUUAGACUAGAGUAUAAGGGAGCAUUUCUUGGCAGGGGCCAUUGUUAAAUUAGAAUACUUCAUAAAAAAAGAAGUGUGAAAAUCUCAGUAUCUCUCUCUCUUUCUAAAAAAAUUAGAUAAAAAUUUGUCUAUUUAAGAUGGUUAAAGAUGUUCUUACCCAAGGAAAAGUAACAAAUUAUAGAAUUUCCCAAAAGAUGUUUUGAUCCUACUAGUAGUAUGCAGCGAAAAUCUUUAGAACUAAGUAAUUUGGACAAGGCUUAAUUUAGGCAUUUCCCUCUUGACCUCCUAAUGGAGAGGGAUUGAAAGGGGAAGAGCCCACCAAAUGCUGAGCUCACUGAAAUAUCUCUCCCUUAUGGCAAUCCUAGCAGUAUUAAAGAAAAAAGGAAACUAUUUAUUCCAAAUGAGAGUAUGAUGGACAGAUAUUUUAGUAUCUCAGUAAUGUCCUAGUGUGGCGGUGGUUUUAAAUGUUUCUUCAUGGUAAAGGUAUAAGCCUUUCAUUUGUUCAAUGGAUGAUGUUUCAGAUUUUUUUUUUUUUUUAAGAGAUCCUUCAAGGAACACAAUUCAGAGAGAUUUUCAUCGGGUGCAUUCUCUCUGCUUCGUGUGUGACAAGUUAUCUUGGCUGCGAGAAAGAGUGCCCUGCCCCACACUGGCAGACCUUUCCUUCACCUCAUCAGUAUGAUUCAGUUUCUCUUAUCAAUUGGACUCUCCCAGGUUCCACAGAACCGUAAUAUUUUUUGAACAAUAGGUACAAUAGAAGGUCUUCUGUCAUUUAACCUGGUAAAGGCAGGGCUGGAGGGGGAAAAUAAAUCAUUAAGCCUUUGAGUAACGGCAGAAUAUAUGGCUGUAGAUCCAUUUUUAAUGGUUCAUUUCCUUUAUGGUCAUAUAACUGCACAGCUGAAGAUGAAAGGGGAAAAUAAAUGAAAAUUUUACUUUUCGAUGCCAAUGAUACAUUGCACUAAACUGAUGGAAGAAGUUAUCCAAAGUACUGUAUAACAUCUUGUUUAUUAUUUAAUGUUUUCUAAAAUAAAAAAUGUUAGUGGUUUUCCAAAUGGCCUAAUAAAAACAAUUAUUUGUAAAUAAAAAC